UACGGAGGAUGCAAGCGUUAUCCGGAAUGAUUGGGCGUAAAGCGUCCGCAGGUGGCACAUCAAGUCUGCUGUCAAAGCCCCCAGCUUAACUGGGAAGAGGCGGUGGAAACUGGUGAGCUGGAGAGCAAUAGGGGUAGAGGGAAUUCCCGGUGUAGCGGUGAAAUGCGUAGAGAUCGGGAAGAACACCAGUGGCGAAAGCGCUCUACUAGGUUGCAACUGACACUGAGGGACGAAAGCUAGGGGAGCGAAUGGGAUUAGAUACCCCAGUAGUCCUAGCCGUAAACGAUGGAUACUAGGCGUUUCUCGUAUCGACCCGAGGAGUGCCGGAGCCAACGCGUUAAGUAUCCCGCCUGGGGAGU
RNAcentral lists this ribosomal RNA (359 nucleotides) under uncultured Chroococcidiopsis sp. RNAcentral describes it as "bacterial SSU rRNA". It matches the Rfam family "Bacterial small subunit ribosomal RNA", at positions 524 to 881 of the family's 1533-position model. Lineage: Bacteria; Bacillati; Cyanobacteriota; Cyanophyceae; Chroococcidiopsidales; Chroococcidiopsidaceae. The record is from RNAcentral.